This 264-nucleotide ribosomal RNA is filed under the name Triticum aestivum (bread wheat). Its description in RNAcentral is "partial small subunit ribosomal RNA". The record is from RNAcentral. Lineage: Eukaryota; Viridiplantae; Streptophyta; Magnoliopsida; Poales; Poaceae.
ACAUUGGCUCCGCGCAAUCUAGGCCUCUCAGCGUACGAGAAAGAAUGCCUGGCUUUGCUUCUGGCCAUCGACCACUGGCGACCCUACCUGCAACAUUCAGAGUUCGUGGUUCGCACAGAUCAAAAAAGCCUGUUGAACUUGACAGAUCAACGACUCAAUACCCUGAUCCAGCAACGGGUGUUUACAAAGCUAAUUGGCCUGCAAUACACAAUCCAGUACAAGACAUGAGUCACAAAUCGAGCGGCAGACGCACUGUCGCGACGC